Lytechinus variegatus (green sea urchin) is the source of this 1325-nucleotide long non-coding RNA. RefSeq lists it as uncharacterized. Lineage: Eukaryota; Metazoa; Echinodermata; Echinoidea; Temnopleuroida; Toxopneustidae. The record is from RefSeq and is a predicted model, not a curated record. The transcript has 4 exons.
CAAAGUCAAGCCAUCAUCCGGCUUGCUCAUGGACAAGCACCAGCUCUUUGUCUUCAAGGUCAUACCAAAGGUCAAGGACAAGACUUUAAGACAUCAAUUCCGCUGCAGGCUCAAUGAUUCAGACAAGCACAUCCAGGAAAUAGACUGUCUGGGGUCAUCAGAACAACCAAGAGUAUUGCUUGAUACUGAGAGUUCUGCUUGCAAGCCUUGCCCAAGAGCCAAGGUCAAAAUGCAGAUGUCAUGACCUUUACCCAUUCUGCACCUGUAUUUCUGAUGUAGAUCUCUUCUUCCCCAAAAGCAGUCUCCUUACACAGUCAACACAGUUUGGAUAUUGAUUGUAGACUGAACCGGAUUAAUGUUUCCAAAUUGGAAGAGGUCAACAGAGCAAUCUUCGUCUCAUCAAUCUCCAAGCACCUGUGCUUCUUCUGAUACAGCGUCCUAAAUCCUGGCUCACCCCUUAGCAUUUUCUUGCGUCAACGCUGCGUAUUGCCAGGACGCAGACAUUUGCAGUCAAAGGCAACACAGUGCAAUGAAAUGAGCUAUUAAAAACAAGGGAAAUACACAGAGGACUUGCGUUCUAGCUCAGUAAUUUGUCAAACACCCGCACCUGAACGCGACCAUAUUCUAUAAAAGCAAAGAUGAGUGGCAAUGAACAAUAGCGAGCAGCUUAUGCAGGCCAACACAUGUUACUGCUAGCUUUACCUUCAUACAUCUUAAAAGAUGCAUACCAGUUGUGGUAAUGAUCUCAAAAUGGGUUCGAAGAGAAUCCAAUGAAAUCAACACCAAAAAAUAUGUGCUAAAUGGCUCCGGAAGAAAAUGCGUAAUAACUGAGAAAUGAGAAAAUUAAGCAUGGAAUUCCAUUGAAUGUCGGGUAGUGUUUUUAAGCAAUAUUGAUUCUUUGUCCCACAUAUGCUUUUCUGUGUUAUGGAUCAUCAGAAUUAUCAAUUUUGAGUUAAGAUAUCUUGAUUUUAGAAAGAUAAGUGUACCGGAUCAAGAUGUAUGAUAAAAGUUUCAAAUUAACCUCGAUUUAAAAGACUUUCUCACGAAAUAAUUGUUUGCAACUGCUGUCUUUUUAUCUUUAAGCUUGCAUCACCUCACUGCAUGCAACUCUAUAUGAGCGCGUACGCAAAAGUGCGAAUUGCAACCAAAUAUUUUGUUGGGCUGCACUUUGCUAAUUUCUGUAAUACAGCAAUAUGCAGCCUAUUAAAGAUGCAAAGGUGUGAACCAGGCUUUACCAUCUGUGAUGCUGUCAACGUCAAGGGGAUCCAGAGGUCUGAUAUCAUGCUGCGUCCGAAGUGUGUAGCCUUCUCUCCUGAUGGAAGCUG